CCUACGGGUGGCAGCAGUGAGGACUAUUGGUCAAUGGGCGCUAGCCUGAACCAGCCAAGUAGCGUGAAGGAUGACGGCCCUAUGGGUUGUAAACUUCUUUUAUAUGGGAAUAAAGUGCAUUAUGUAUACUUCUUUGCAUGUACCUUAUGAAUAAGGAUCGGCUAACUCCGUGACAUCAGCCGCGGUAAUACGGAGGAUCCGAGCGUUAUCCGGAUUUAUUGGGUUUAAAGGGAGUGUAGGCGGGUUGUUAAGUCAGUUGUGAAAGUUUGCGGCUCAACCGUAAAAUUGCAGUUGAUACUGGCAGCCUUGAGUACAGUAGAGGUAGGCGGAAUUAGUGGUGUAGCGGGGAAAGGCUUAGAUAUCACGAAGAACUCCGAUUGCGAAGGCAGCCUGCUGGACUGUAACUGACGCUGAUGCUCGAAAGUGUGGGUAUCAAACAGGAUUAGAUACCCUUGUAGUC
This 460-nucleotide ribosomal RNA is filed under the name uncultured bacterium. RNAcentral describes it as "partial 16S ribosomal RNA". It matches the Rfam family "Bacterial small subunit ribosomal RNA", at positions 338 to 795 of the family's 1533-position model. The record is from RNAcentral.